UGGGGAAUUUUGGACAAUGGGCGAAAGCCUGAUCCAGCAAUGCCGCAUGUGUGAAGAAGGCCUUCGGGUUGUAAAGCACUUUUGUCCGGAAAGAAAUCCUUGGCUCUAAUACAGUCGGGGGAUGACGGUACCGGAAGAAUAAGCACCGGCUAACUACGUGCCAGCAGCCGCGGUAAUACGUAGGGUGCAAGCGUUAAUCGGAAUUACUGGGCGUAAAGCGUGCGCAGGCGGUUUGCUAAGACCGAUGUGAAAUCCCCGGGCUCAACCUGGGAACUGCAUUGGUGACUGGCAGGCUAGAGUAUGGCAGAGGGGGGUAGAAUUCCACGUGUAGCAGUGAAAUGCGUAGAGAUGUGGAGGAAUACCGAUGGCGAAGGCAGCCCCCUGGGCCAAUACUGACGCUCAUGCACGAAAAGCGUGGGGAGCAAACAGGAUUAGAUACCCUGGUAGUCCACGCCCUAAAACGAUGUCAACUAGUUGUUGGGGAUUCAUUUCCUUAGUAACGUAGCUAACGCGUGAAGUUGACCGCCU
RNAcentral lists this ribosomal RNA (528 nucleotides) under uncultured bacterium. Its description in RNAcentral is "partial 16S ribosomal RNA". It matches the Rfam family "Bacterial small subunit ribosomal RNA", at positions 355 to 874 of the family's 1533-position model. The record is from RNAcentral.